This is an RNA transcript of Symphalangus syndactylus (siamang), 3541 nucleotides long. It is a transcript of the gene named nucleoporin 35, with no coding region annotated. The record is from RefSeq and is a predicted model, not a curated record. NCBI's taxonomy places the organism in Eukaryota, Metazoa, Chordata, Mammalia, Primates, Hylobatidae.
UUACCCGUGGGGAGCGUUUCCGCCAUUUUUGAAAAUUGGGAAGGUCCUGGUUUUAAGUGUAGUUGCCGACGCAAUGGCAGCCUUUGCCGUGGAACCUCAGGGGCCCGCGUUAGGAUCUGAACCAAUGAUGCUGGGUUCACCCACAUCUCCAAAGCCAGGAGUUAAUGCCCAGUUCUUACCUGGAUUUUUAAUGGGGGAUUUGCCAGCUCCGGUGACUCCACAACCUCGAUCAAUUAGUGGCCCUUCAGUAGGAGUAAUGGAAAUGAGAUCACCUUUACUUGCAGGUGGGUCACCACCACAACCAGUUGUACCAGCUCAUAAAGAUAAAAGUGGCGCUCCACCAGUUAGAAGUAUAUAUGAUGACAUUUCUAGCCCAGGACUUGGAUCAACACCUUUAACUUCAAGAAGACAGCCAAACAUUUCAGUAAUGCAGAGUCCUCUUGUUGGAGUUACAUCUACUCCUGGAACAGGGCAAAGUAUGUUUAGUCCAGCAAGUAUCGGUCAGCCACGAAAGACGACAUUAUCUCCUGCCCAGUUGGAUCCUUUUUAUACUCAAGGAGAUUCUUUGACUUCAGAAGAUCACCUCGAUGACUCUUGGGUGACUGUAUUUGGGUUUCCUCAAGCAUCUGCUUCCUACAUAUUACUACAAUUUGCACAGUAUGGGAAUAUCUUAAAACAUGUGAUGUCUAAUACAGGAAAUUGGAUGCAUAUUCGUUAUCAGUCUAAACUGCAGGCUCGGAAAGCCUUAAGCAAAGAUGGGAGGAUUUUUGGAGAAUCCAUCAUGAUUGGUGUAAAACCAUGUAUUGACAAAAGUGUUAUGGAAAGCAGUGACAGAUGUGCUUUAUCAUCUCCAUCUUUAGCCUUUACACCACCAAUCAAAACUCUAGGUACACCAACACAACCUGGAAGUACUCCUAGGAUUUCUACCAUGAGACCUCUUGCUACAGCAUACAAAGCCUCUACUAGUGAUUAUCAGGUUAUUUCUGACAGACAAACGCCAAAAAAAGAUGAAAGUCUUGUAUCCAAAGCAAUGGAGUACAUGUUUGGCUGGUAGUAGAAGACCCAGGAGGAGGUUGCUACACUAAAACAGAGUUAGCAGAGUGCUGCUGUUUCCUUCGAAAUGGGAUCUUGUUCUCUCACCUGAGCUGGAGUGCAGUGGUGCGAUCAUAGCUCACUGAAACCUUGAACUCUUGAGCUCAAGUGAUCCUCCCGCCUCAGCCUUUCAAGCAGCUGGGACCACAGCUUCAGCCAACCUCUUCUCUUUGAUGUUCCUCAAACAUCCCAGGAAUGCUCCCACUUUAGAACUGUUGUACUUGUGGUUCCUGCCAACCCAAAUCCCAGAUAGCCACACAGGAUUGGAUGGAGGUUCUGCAUUCUUGGCAAGACCCCCAUGGACUGACGCUGUGUCCUGAGUAUUUCAUCAUGUGGAUGUGUCCUCAUACAGGUGAUGUUAACUCUGAUCGCUUGGUUAAGGUGCUGUCUGCCAGGUGUCUGCACUGGAAAAGUACUAUUUUUUUUUUUUUUUUUUUUUUUGUCAAAGGAGCAGGGUAUAAAAGGCAGGGCAUGAAAUCUGAGAGCAGGCGUGCAUCAGGAAUUAGGAACCAGGAACUGGGAGCUGAGGCUGCUGCCCUCUGAGGAAAAGGAGACUUUAAAGAAGAUUUACAAAGAAUGGAGAAAGAAGAUUCAAGAAGAUGAAGAUGUCAAAUGCCUCAUUGCAAAAUAUAGAUUGGAAAGUGUUCCUUUAAUUUGGCAUUUUGUGGGUCAUUUGUGAUUUUAGUAAAUUAUGCAAUGUGAAAAAAUAUACAGUUUCUUUCAAAUGGCGAACAAUUAAAGAAAAAAACUCGUAAGUGUGGGCUGUAGCAAAAGUGAGGCUCUUAUUGUUGUCACUGUCUGACAGAAAUCUGAAUUCUGAUCCCACAGAUUUCUCUCCUCUCUUUUCCCUGCUUACUUUGAACUGAAGUACCUCUUUACUCCUUCCUUCCUUUCCCUCCCUCUUAUCUCUUUGCCUCCCUGUAGAUUCCAUCACAGCUUCCUCCAUCCUUUUUUUUUAUUAUUAUACUUGAAGUUUUAGGGUACAUGUGCACAAUGUGCAGGUUUGUUACAUAUGUAUACAUGUGUCAUGUUGGUGUGCUGCACCCAUUAACUCAUCAUUUACAUUAGGUAUAUCUCCUAAUGCUAUCCUUCCCCCCUCCCCCACCCCACAACAGGCCCCAGUGUGUGAUGUUCCUCUUCCUGUGUCCAUGUGUUCUCAUUGUUCAUUUCUCAGCUAUGAGUGAGAACAUGCGGUGUUUAGUUUUUCAUCCUUGCGAUAGUUUGCUGAGAAUGAUGGUUUCCAGCUUCAUCCAUGUCCCUACAAAGGACAUGAACUCAUCAUUUUUUAUGGCUGCAUAGUAUUCCAUGGUGUAUAUGUGCCACAUUUUCUUAAUCCAGUCUAUCGUUGUUGGACAUUUGGGUUGGUUCCAAGUCUUUGCUAUUGUGAAUAGUGCAGCAAUAGACAUACAUGUGCAUGUGCUUUUAUAACAGCAUGAUUUAUAAUCCUUUGGGUAUAUACCCAGUGAUGGGAUGGCUGGGUCAAAUGGUAUUUCUAGUUCUAGAUCCUUGAGGAAUCACCACACUGUGUUCCACAAUGGUUGAACUAGUUUACAGUCCCACCAACAGUGUAAAAGUGUUCCUAUUUCUCCACAUCCUCUCCAGCACCUGUUGUUUCCUGACAUUUUAAUGAUCGCCAUUCUAACCGGUGUGAGGUGGUAUCUCAUUGGGGAACAUCUUAAAAGAAAAUCAUGUAAUUGCCAUUUGCACUUCCCCACCUCUUAUCCACUCUUCAGCCUACUGCAAAUUGACUUUUGACCUCUUUAAUCUACUGAAAUGGCUCAUGCAAAGAGACUUUUUAUAAAAAUCACAUAUAAUUUAGAUUUUUUAUUUUCUGCAUAAAUCUCUUUAAUUUUAUGUGAUAAUACAGUGCAUGAUUAUUUGUUGAGCCAUUAAUUUUGUAUUAGUGAAGGAGAAAGUUGAACCUGUCAGUUAAACGGGAUGGAAUAAGAAACAAUAUUUUAAAAAUAGCAGUAAAUAGAAACUUGCACAAUAAAAAUAUUUUUGUGUCACUUGAAAUAUUACCAUUGGUUGCAAGUUUUAAAGAUGUAAAAGGUGUCUUCUUUCACGUUCACUUUUUUUUUCAGUAGAGAUACUGACUGCAGGCAGCUUGCCUCUUUUGUUUUCUUGGCUUAUAGUUACAGUACUUGAGCACAAAUUUAAUGAAGCAUUGUUUAAUUGAGACUUCCCUGUAGUGACACAACAAUAUUGCAAAUUUUUUUCAUAGGCAUUUCCUCACUUAAUUCUCAAACAAGUUUUGUCUUUUUUUUUUUUUCAUCACAACAUCUGUAGACAAGAUCAAACAACUUUUGAAGGGUAUUUGAUUUCCCCCUAUUUACAGAUGAAGAAACUAAAACUCAAAAGAUACAAAUUGCCACAUUCACCCUGCCACAGGGUGUGUGUGUGUGUGUGUGUGUGUGUUUUCUGACUCUAAACGUAGAGCAGUUUCUAC